Long non-coding RNA from Carassius auratus (goldfish), 925 nucleotides. RefSeq lists it as uncharacterized. Lineage: Eukaryota; Metazoa; Chordata; Actinopteri; Cypriniformes; Cyprinidae. The transcript has 3 exons. The record is from RefSeq and is a predicted model, not a curated record.
AUGAACAGAAAAGAGCAGAUUUGUGUGCAUUUGUGACCACAAACAUCACUACAGGAGAAGAAAUGAUGUACGACUGUGGAGAUCCUGACAUCUCAUGGAGACAGGUAGCAGGAUGCUUGGUCCAUUACAUCCUGACGGAUGGACAACACCCUCAUCAGACUACUACACCCUCCACCCAGGAUCCACUUGGUCUGUCUCUACAUGUCAGAACGAGUAACUUCAGUCUUCAAUGGGAUGAAAGACUAAACAUAUCUUAAGCAGAAUAAUGAGCAAAUCAGUGGAAGAGCAUCCUACUAUUGAGGAAAGCCUUCAGGAAGUCAAAACUAUGUGCAAAGACUUAUUGUAGAGUUUACAAUAAGCAUUAAAAUGAUUGGAUAUAAAAACUGGUGUGAAUUUACAGGUUUGAUCACCAGUCUUAUCAAAUAUCAACCACAAACAGCUACAGCUCAGGAAAGUCUUCAGUCUUCAGUCUUGGAUACAUCAGUAAAUCACUAGUGCCAUUAAAUCAAAACGCAAAACCCAGAAAGCCCUGGUCAGAAACAGAGAGGAAAGUCAUAGAACACUGUUUCAAGAACUACUUUGAGGAAAUGAAGGCUCCUGGAAAAGUGGACUGUGAAAGAUGCAUAAAUGCAAACAGGAUUCUAAAGGGUAAUGGAAGAGACUGGAAAACAGUUAAAUACUUUGUGCUCAACAGAAUAAUUUCAGUUAAGAGAAGUUUGGGUCAACAGUACUGAGCCCAUAAACCCUGAGAGCGUGUGAUGUGGAGUAUCAGUGUUGAGUCCUAACUGUGCCGUGACACUGAAGGUCCAUGUACAUGCAGCAUCAGUGCCUCAUAGCAUUGAAAUGACUGACUACAGCUGUUUUCAGCUGCUGUUUGGGACUCUGUUUUAGACCUGUUAUAACUUUGAUGUAAGCCACUGUAAUU